CAAUAGCUACUUGCAUCAUUGUAAAUAUGAUGCAAGAUCGACUAUGUCGAAUAAAAUUCUAGGUAGAAUUAUGAUAAUGACAUUGUCUGCCUAUGUGUCUUGACCAAAUUACGUGCCAGCAGUCGCGGUAAUACGUAGAAGACUAGUGUUAUUCAUGUUUAAUCGGUUUAAAGGGUACCUAGACGGUAAAUCAAGCCUAAAAGGAAAUAAAUGAAGGGACUAAUUUACUAGAGUUACUUAUGAGGGGGUAUUAAAGUACUGCUGGUGUAGAGAUGAAAUUCUGUCAUACCUCUUUUCAAUAGAAAAUUAAUGGCACAGGUAUAGGCGAAAGCAUCCCCUUAUGUGAUAACUGACGUUGAGGGACGAAGGCUUUGUGUAGCGAACAGGAUUAGAUACCCCAGUAGUCAAAGCAGAAAAUGAUGAAUGUCAUAGAUUAGAUAUAUAAGUUUAUUCUAUAAAUGAAAGUGUAAGCAUUCCACCUCAAGAGUAAUUUGGCAACAUUGGAACUGAAAUCAUUAGACCGUUUCUGAAACCAGUAGUGAAGUAUGUUGUUUAAUUUGAUGAUCCGCAAAAAACCUUACCACAAUUUGAAUAUUUAUAUCUUUUAUUGUUUUUCUUUUUAACUUUUUCUAAUUUUCUACUUAAAAGAAAAAAAUAACAAGAAAAAAGAGACAAUAAGAUUA
This 683-nucleotide ribosomal RNA is filed under the name Vulpicida juniperinus. Its description in RNAcentral is "SSU rRNA". It matches the Rfam family "Bacterial small subunit ribosomal RNA", at positions 376 to 1036 of the family's 1533-position model. Lineage: Eukaryota; Fungi; Ascomycota; Lecanoromycetes; Lecanorales; Parmeliaceae. The record is from RNAcentral.